RNAcentral lists this ribosomal RNA (1299 nucleotides) under Triticum aestivum (bread wheat). RNAcentral describes it as "partial small subunit ribosomal RNA". Lineage: Eukaryota; Viridiplantae; Streptophyta; Magnoliopsida; Poales; Poaceae. The record is from RNAcentral.
AUGGGGAGAGGCUCCCCUCCCGCUCCCGCCCCGCGCCUCGCGCCCGGGCUGCCGGCCCUGCUCGCCGCCGCGCUGCUGCUGCUGCUGCUGCCGGCCCCGGCCGCCGGGGUCAACGUGACGGCCGUGCUCGCGGCGUUCCCCGGCUUCUCCGACUUCGCGCGGCUGCUCGCGUCCUCCCCGGUGGCCGCGGAGCUGGCGGGGCGGUCGUCGCUCACGCUGCUGGCCGUGCCCAACGCCAACCUGCCGCGCUCGCCCUCCGCCUUCGCCGCGGCCGCCGGCGCCGACCUCGCCGACGUGCUGCGCUACCACGUCCUCCUCGAGUACCUCUCCCCGCCCGACCUCGCCCGCGUCCCCGCCUCGGGCAGGCUCGUCACCACGCUCUUCCAGACCACCGGCCGCGCGCCCUCCGACCUCGGCGCCGUCAACCUCACGGCCACUGCCGCGGGCGGCGGCAGCAGCAGCUCCGCCGUCGUCGUCCGCUCGCCGUCCCCGUCCCCGGGGUCGAACGCCACCGUCCUCGGCGCCGUGACCAGGGAGCCGUACAACCUCAGCGUGCUGGCCGUGGGCGGCCUCAUCGUGCCCUCCGGCUUCGACAUCGCCGCGUCGGGCUCCGAGACCCGCCCGUCCCCGGCGGUGAACAUCACCCGCGUCCUCACCGACGCGCGCGGCUUCAACGUGGCCGCCUCCAUGCUCGAGGCCUCGGGCGUGGCGGACGACUUCGAGGCCGACGAGCGCGGCGCCGGCAUCACCAUCUUCGUCCCAACCGACGACGCCUUCGCGGCCCUCCCCGCCACCGACCGCCUCCAGUCCCUCCCCGCCGACCGCAAGGCCGUGGUGCUGCGCUUCCACGUGCUGCACUCCUACUACCCGCUGGGGUCCCUGGAGUCCAUCGUGAACCCCGUCCAGCCCACGCUCGCCACCGAGUGCACCGAGGCCGGCCGCUUCACGCUCAACAUCACGCGCUUCAACGGCUCCGUCGCCAUCGACACCGGCGUCGUGCAGGCGUCCAUCACCCGCACGGUGUUCGACCAGAAUCCCGUGGCGGUCUUCGCCGUCUCCAAGGUCCUGCUGCCCAAGGAAAUGUUCAGCCGCGGGAACACCAUUAACCCCGGAGCUGCCACCCCUCCCGCCACCAUGACCCCAGACGUCUCCGAUGGCCCGCGGACGCCGCCGACGAAGCUGUCGUCCCCGCCGGCCCUGCGCGGCCAGGACAGCAAGCCAUCAUCAGCACCAGCAAGAAACGCGAACUGGUGGUGUACAGGAAUAGGAUUGGUCUGCCUGCUCCUACCUCUGCUAUGA